RNAcentral lists this long non-coding RNA (1320 nucleotides) under Numida meleagris (helmeted guineafowl). RNAcentral's name for it is "lncRNA (ENSNMEG00000001901.1)". The record is from RNAcentral. Lineage: Eukaryota; Metazoa; Chordata; Aves; Galliformes; Numididae.
CUCAGUGAAGCAUUACGGGGUUUCUAUAGGGCGCUAUGGGUCCCUAUGGGGCACUAUGGGUCUCUAUGGGGCACUACGGGUCUCUAGGGGAUGCUGUGGGGCCUCUAUGGGUCUCUGUAGGGCUCCAUGGGGCGCUAUGGGGCCUCUAUGGGGCUCUAUAGGGCUCCACGGGGCGCUAUGGGUCUCUAUGGGGUACUAUGGGGUCCCUAUGGGGCGCUAUGGGGCACUAUGGGUCUCUACGGGGCACUACGGGUGUCUAGGGGAUGCUAUGGGGCCUCUAUGGGCCGCUAUGGGUCUCAAUGGGGCGCUACGGGUCUCAGUGGGGCGCUAUGGGUCGCUACGGGGUGGUAUGGGUCUCAGUGGGGCGCUAUGGGUCCCUAUGGGGCGCUACGGGUCUCAGUGGAUCCGCUAUGGAUCCCUAUGGGGCGCUAUGGGUCUCAGUGGGGCGCUAUGGGUCGCUAUGGGGUGGUAUGGUUCUCAGAGGAGUGCUAUGGGUCUCUAUGGGGCGCUAUGGUUCUCAGUGAGCCGCUAUGGGUCCCUAUGGGGCGCUAUGGGUUUCUGUGGGGCGCUACGGGUUGCUAUGGGGCGCUAUGGGUCUCAAUGGGGCGCUAUGGGUCUCAGUGGGGUGCUAUGGGUCUCAGUGGGGCGCUAUGGGUCUCAGUGGGGCGCUACGGGUCUCAGUGGGGCACUAUGGGUCUCUGUGGGGCGCUAUGGGUCUCUGUGGGGCGCUACGGGUCUCUAUGGGGCGCUAUGGGACACUACAGGACCUCCAAAAAACCUCUAUGGGUUCUUAUGGGGCGCUACAGCUCUCAGUGGGGCGCUAUGGGUCUCAGUGGGGCGCUAUGGGGCGCUAUGGGUCUCAGUGAGGCGCUAUGGGUCCCUGUGGGGUGCUAUGGGGAUCAGUGGGGCACUAUGGUUCUCAGUGAGGCGCUAUGGGUUCCUAUGGGGCGCUAUGGGUCCCUAUGGGGCGCUAUGGGUUUCUGUGGGGCGCUAUGGGUCUCAAUGGGGCGCUAUGGGUCCCUAUGGGACGCUACAGGGUCUCCAAAGAGCCUCUAUGGGUUCCUAUGGGACGCUACAGCUCUCAGUGGGGCACUAUGGGUCUCAGUGGGGCGCUAUGGGUCUCAGUGGGGCGCUAUGGGUCUCAGUGGGGCGCUAUGGGGCGCUAUGGGGCGGUACCUGGCCAAGAGGGGCAGGGCGGUGGCGCAGGCGAGGCGUGCGGGGGGGGCCCCGCAGCGCAACAUGUGGGUCAGCAGCCCCACACCAAAGGGGGUCCCGGCCACCCCCCCCAGAGUGCGCAGCAACGCCUCCCCUAUGGGGCAC